UACGUAAGGGGCAAGCGUUGUCCGGAAUCACUGGGCGUAAAGCGCACGUAGGCGGCUUGAUAAGUCAGAGGUGUAAGCUCUAGGCUUAACCUAGAAAUUGCCUUUGAACUAUCUCGCUUGAGGUCAGAGGGAAACUGGAAUUCACGGUGUAGCGGCGAAAUGCGUAGAUAUCGAGAGGAACACCUGCGGCGAAGGCGGGUUGCUGGCUGAUACUGACGCUGAGGCGCGAAAGCCAGGGAGCGAACGGG
Molecule: ribosomal RNA, 248 nt
Filed under: uncultured bacterium
Lineage: Bacteria
Description: partial 16S ribosomal RNA
Rfam family: Bacterial small subunit ribosomal RNA
Source: RNAcentral